UGGUUCUGGCAUNGAUGAAGAACGCAGCGAAAUGCGAUAAGUAAUGUGAAUUGCAGAAUUCAGUGAAUCAUCGAAUCUUUGAACGCAUAUUGCGCCCUCGGGUAUUCCCGAGGGCAUACCUGUUCGAGCGUCAUAUCACCCUCACGCCUAGCGUGGUCUUGGGCGCGGCCGGUCCCGGCCGUCCCUUAAAAUGAGUAGCUACGUCUCGCCGCCUGGAGCAAAGUCAUUGCUUGCUACCAGCGCGGCGGUCCGGGGCUAAAAGUUGGUUGGCACGGUUGACCUCGGAUCAGGUAAGGAUACCCGCUGA
This 307-nucleotide unclassified non-coding RNA is filed under the name uncultured fungus. Its description in RNAcentral is "partial contains 5.8S ribosomal RNA and internal transcribed spacer 2". The stretch from base 1 to 133 matches the Rfam family "5.8S ribosomal RNA", at positions 22 to 154 of the family's 154-position model. Lineage: Eukaryota; Fungi. The record is from RNAcentral.